GACUCUCGGCAACGGAUAUCUCGGCUCUCGCAUCGAUGAAGAACGUAGCGAAAUGCGAUACUUGGUGUGAAUUGCAGAAUCCCGUGAACCAUCGAGUCUUUGAACGCAAGUUGCGCCCGAAGCCAUUAGGCCGAGGGCACGUCUGCCUGGGUGUCACACAACGUCGCCAACGCCCGGU
This 178-nucleotide ribosomal RNA is filed under the name Leucochloron limae. RNAcentral describes it as "5.8S ribosomal RNA". The stretch from base 1 to 156 matches the Rfam family "5.8S ribosomal RNA". Rfam says of the family: 5.8S ribosomal RNA (5.8S rRNA) is a component of the large subunit of the eukaryotic ribosome. It is transcribed by RNA polymerase I as part of the 45S precursor that also contains 18S and 28S rRNA. Lineage: Eukaryota; Viridiplantae; Streptophyta; Magnoliopsida; Fabales; Fabaceae. The record is from RNAcentral.